GGGAGGCGGAGAAAACAGAUUUAAACUAAGUUUGAACCGCCACCUCGGUUUGCUAGUACGGUGAGAAAACGUCGUUCGUGAAGAGAUCUGAAUGCUAAAACAAACUCUGGAGCUGCUUUUUUGUUGAACAGAGUGAGACUGGACAUUGAACACACCUGCGCCGCGAAGGUGUCAGCACAUUGUCCACAAUCGCAGUCUUUGCACAAUGAAGAAGUUCUUUGAGACCAGAACUGAGGCCUCCAGGAUUCAAACUUUAACCAUUAAAGAUCACAGAGAGAAGAGAGAGACGUGAAGACAUUUCCAGAAGGUCUUCAGCUGCUGUCGUCUUCUCCUCCUGCAGAGACAAGAACAUGUGUUAAUCACAGAAAUUGAUUUUUGGUACCCAAUUAGAAUAAUUAAAACUAAACUUUUUACAACUCAGUAUCACAUAUUUUAGUGUGUUUUUUCUAAUUAUUACAGAGU
Lates calcarifer (barramundi perch) is the source of this 462-nucleotide long non-coding RNA. RefSeq lists it as uncharacterized. The transcript has 4 exons. NCBI's taxonomy places the organism in Eukaryota, Metazoa, Chordata, Actinopteri, Centropomidae. The record is from RefSeq and is a predicted model, not a curated record.